GUUAUUAGGGAAGAACAUAUGUGUAAGUAACUGUGCACAUCUUGACGGUACCUAAUCAGAAAGCCACGGCUAACUACGUGCCAGCAGCCGCGGUAAUACGUAGGUGGCAAGCGUUAUCCGGAAUUAUUGGGCGUAAAGCGCGCGUAGGCGGUUUUUUAAGUCUGAUGUGAAAGCCCACGGCUCAACCGUGGAGGGUCAUUGGAAACUGGAAAACUUGAGUGCAGAAGAGGAAAGUGGAAUUCCAUGUGUAGCGGUGAAAUGCGCAGAGAUAUGGAGGAACACCAGUGGCGAAGGCGACUUUCUGGUCUGUAACUGACGCUGAUGUGCGAAAGCGUGGGGAUCAAACAGGAUUAGAUACCCUGGUAGUCCACGCCGUAAACGAUGAGUGCUAAGUGUUAGGGGGUUUCCGCCCCUUAGUGCUGCAGCUAACGCAUUAAGCACUCCGCCUGGGGAGUACGACCGCAAGGUUGAAACUCAAAGGAAUUGACGGGGGCCCGCACAAGCGGUGGAGCAUGUGGUUUAAUUCGAAGCAACGCGAAGAACCUUACCAAAUCUUGACAUCCUUUGACAACUCUAGAGAUAGAGCUUUCCCCUUCGGGGGACAAAGUGACAGGUGGUGCAUGGUUGUCGUCAGCUCGUGUCGUGAGAUGUUGGGUUAAGUCCCGCAACGAGCGCAACCCUUAAGCUUAGUUG
RNAcentral lists this ribosomal RNA (693 nucleotides) under Staphylococcus aureus. RNAcentral's name for it is "bacterial SSU rRNA". It matches the Rfam family "Bacterial small subunit ribosomal RNA", at positions 434 to 1117 of the family's 1533-position model. The record is from RNAcentral. Lineage: Bacteria; Bacillati; Bacillota; Bacilli; Caryophanales; Staphylococcaceae.